AUGCCCUAGUAACGGCGAGUGAAGCGGCAACAGCUCAAAUUUGAAAUCUGGCCCUCGGGUCCGAGUUGUAAUUUGUAGAGGAUGAUUUUGGUUAGGUACCUUCCGAGUUCCUUGGAACAGGACGCCUUAGAGGGUGAGAGCCCCGUACGGUUGGAUGCCGAGCCUCUGUAAAUCUCCUUCGACGAGUCGAGUAGUUUGGGAAUGCUGCUCUAAAUGGGAGGUAAAUUUCUUCUAAAGCUAAAUACCGGCCAGAGACCGAUAGCGCACAAGUAGAGUGAUCGAAAGAUGAAAAGCACUUUGAAAAGAGGGUUAAAUAGUACGUGAAAUUGUUGAAAGGGAAGGGCUUGUGACCAGACCUUUGCCUUGCGGAUCAUCCGGUGUUCUCACCGGUGCACUCCGCUUGGUUGAGGCCAGCAUCAGUUUCGGCGGCGGGAUAAAGACUUCAGGAACGUGACUCCCCCGGGAGUGUUAUAGCCUGCUGUGUAAUACCGCCGCUGGGACUGAGGACCGCGCUUCGGCUAGGAUGCUGGCAUAAUGGUCAUCAGCCACCCGUCUUGAAACACGGACCAAGGAGUCGAACAUUUAUGCGAGUUUUUGGGUGUUAAACCCUCAAGCGUAAUGAAAGUGAACGGAGGUGAGAGCCCUUACGGGUGCAUCAUCGACCGAUCCUGAUGUCUUCGGAUGGAUUUGAGUAAGAGCAUAACUGUUCGGACCCGAAAGAUGGUGAACUAUGCGUGGAUAGGGUGAAGCCAGAGGAAACUCUGGUGGAGGCUCGCAGCGGUUCUGACGUGCAAAUCGAUCGUCAAAUCUGCGCAUGGGGCGAAAGACUAUCGA
This 834-nucleotide ribosomal RNA is filed under the name Microdochium seminicola. Its description in RNAcentral is "eukaryotic LSU rRNA". It matches the Rfam family "Eukaryotic large subunit ribosomal RNA", at positions 73 to 938 of the family's 3401-position model. The record is from RNAcentral. Lineage: Eukaryota; Fungi; Ascomycota; Sordariomycetes; Xylariales; Microdochiaceae.